Sapajus apella (tufted capuchin) is the source of this 2105-nucleotide RNA transcript. It is a transcript of the gene named signal recognition particle subunit SRP72 pseudogene, with no coding region annotated. The record is from RefSeq and is a predicted model, not a curated record. NCBI's taxonomy places the organism in Eukaryota, Metazoa, Chordata, Mammalia, Primates, Cebidae. The transcript is spliced from 2 exons.
AUGGGAGGACACCCCAGAGGACUCCCAGAGAGGGUGAAGAGAAACACAAGAGAGAGGCCGAAGCCGGCUGGGGUGGAGGAGGAGCCUGAUGUGCAAGGAGCAGACCUGCUGAAGCAGAAGGCUGGAGGCAAUUCAUUUCCUACUGAAAGGGGACCAACUUGCACUUCAGUUCUGAAGGAUGACUGUGCUAGGAAAGAGGAGACGAAAACAAACCUUUCAGCAAAUGUUGCAGCUGAAAGCAACUGGGAAAAAGUGGCUCCAGAGAACUCGGGCCUUCAAGAAGGCACACAUAAGCUGUGCCACAACACUGCAUGUGCACUGAUAGGCCAAGGCCAGCUGAACCAGGCCAUAAAAAUUCUGCAAAAAGCUGAAGACCUUUGCUGCACUGCUCAUUAUCAGAAGACGCUGAGGGGACUGAGGAAGACCCACAGGCAGAACUGGCCAUCAUUUAUGGUCAGAUGACUUAUAUUCUGCAGCUUCAGGGUCGAACAGAGGAGGCCUUGCAACUUUAUAAUCAAAUAAUAAAACUAAAACCAACAGAUGUGGGAUUACUAGCUGUAGUUGCAAACAACAUCAUUACCAUUAACAAGGAUUAAAAUGUCUUUAACUCCAAGAAAAAAAUGAAAUUAACCAAUGUGGAAGGAGUAGAGUUUAAGCUUUCCAAGAAACAACUACAUGCUAUAGAAUUUAACAAAGCUUUACUUGCUAUGAACACAAACCAGGCAGAACAAUGCUGCAAAAUAUCUGCCAGUUUACAGUCCCAAAGUCUGGAGCAUCUCUUACCUGUGUUAAUUCAAGCUGCCCAGUAUUAUUGUGAAAAGCAGCACACAAAAGCAAUAGAGCUGCUCCAGGAAUUUUCAGAUCAACGUCCAGAAAAUGCAGCUGAAAUUAAGCUGACCAUGGCACGGCUGAAAAUUUCUCAAGGUAGUAUUUCUAAAGCAUGUCUAAUAUUGAGAAGCACAGAGGAGUUAAAGCAUGAGCCAGGCAUCGUGUCUGUACUAGUGACCAUGUAUAGCAUGAAGAAGAUAUUGAUAGUGCCACUGAGGUCUUCUCAUAAGCUAUCCAGUGGUAUCAAAACCAUCAGCCCAAAUCUCCUGCUCAUUUGUCCUUGGUAAGAGAAGCUGCAAACUUCAAACUCAAAUAUGGGUGGAAGAGGGAGGCAAUUAGUGACCUAGAACAGCUAUGGAAACAAAAUCCAAAAGAUAUUCACACCUUGGCACAGCUUAUUUCUGCUUACUCACUUGUAGAUCCAGAGAAAGCCAAAGCUCCUAGUAAACACUCGCCAUUGUCAGACAGUACGUCUCUAAAAGCAGAUGCUGAAGCUCUUGAAAAUUCUCCUGGUGCUACGUACAUCCUGAAGAAGGGUGGAAAAGUUACUGGAGAUAGACAACCAAAGGAACAAGAACUGGGAGAUCUGAAAAAGAAUGGAAAACUGCCUAAGAAUUAUGACCCAGAAGUUACCCCAGAUCCAGAAAGAUGAUUGCCAACAUGAGAACGUUCUUUCUACUGGGAAAGAAAGACGGGUAAAAGGAAGGAUCCGAUUGGAAAAGGGACCCAGGGAGUAACUGCAGGAGCUUCAUCUGAACUGGAUGCCAGUAAAACUGUGAGCAGCCCACUCAUCGCCCCCAAGACCUGGCAGCGCAGCCACAGUAUCUGCCUCUAUGAGUAACAUCAUACCCCAAGACACCAGAAACCUGCAGGGGCUCCAGCAACAAAAAAGAAACAGCAAUAAAAAAAGAAGAAAGGUGGAAAAGAUAGCUGGUGAUGAGAAUAUUUUUGUUGCGGGCUGUUUUUAAACUAGUCUCAGUGACACUAGGAACAUAACAAAGGUAACACAGCAAGUAGCACAGAACUGCUCCCUCUUCAUCUCCAUAUUUUCAUAAAUAAUUUCUUGUGUUUCAAAUAGGGAAACAUCUUUCUCAAAGUCUGCCUAGUGAGAUAUGGCCUACUGGUUGACUCACAGCUUUGUACAGAUUAUGGGAACUGAAAAUAAUUGGGCAUUUACCCAUCUUGGUAUCUGUUGUAUCCUCUAUCUGCAUGUGCUGAUUUGAUCUUUUUUCAGUUUCACAAACCUUAUCUAAGGGUUCCCAGGAUUUAAACAGAAA